Molecule: ribosomal RNA, 507 nt
Filed under: uncultured Pseudomonadota bacterium
Lineage: Bacteria; Pseudomonadati; Pseudomonadota
Description: bacterial SSU rRNA
Rfam family: Bacterial small subunit ribosomal RNA
Source: RNAcentral
UGGGGAAUAUUGGACAAUGGGCGCAAGCCUGAUCCAGCAAUGCCGCGUGAGUGAAGAAGGCCUUAGGGUUGUAAAGCUCUUUCGCCUGCGACGAUGAUGACGGUAGCAGGAGAAGAAGCCCCGGCUAAUUCCGUGCCAGCAGCCGCGGUAAUACGGAAGGGGCUAGCGUUGUUCGGAAUCACUGGGCGUAAAGCGCGCGUAGGCGGCCGGUCAAGUGCGGCGUGAAAGUCCUGGGCUCAACCUGGGGACGGCGCUGCGGACUGUUCGGCUGGAGUCCGGAAGAGGGUGGUGGAAUUCCGAGUGUAGAGGUGAAAUUCGUAGAUAUUCGGAGGAACACCGGUGGUGAAGGCGGCCACCUGGUCCGGCACUGACGCUCAAGCGCGAAAGCGUGGGGAGCAAACAGGAUUAGAUACCCUGGUAGUCCACGCCGUAAACGAUGGGUGCUAGAUGUCGGGGGGCUUGGCCCUUCGGUGUCGGAGCUAACGCGUUAAGCACCCCGCCUGGGGA